RNAcentral lists this non-coding RNA (29 nucleotides) under Rattus norvegicus (Norway rat). The record is from RNAcentral. Lineage: Eukaryota; Metazoa; Chordata; Mammalia; Rodentia; Muridae.
UCUGAAGGCUCUUUGGUCUUUGAUUCAGA